RNAcentral lists this ribosomal RNA (468 nucleotides) under uncultured bacterium. Its description in RNAcentral is "partial 16S ribosomal RNA". It matches the Rfam family "Bacterial small subunit ribosomal RNA", at positions 28 to 507 of the family's 1533-position model. The record is from RNAcentral.
GACGAACGCUGGCGGCGUGCUUAACACAUGCAAGUCGAACGGAAAGGCCCUGCUUUUGUGGGGUGCUCGAGUGGCGAACGGGUGAGUAACACGUGAGUAACCUGCCCUUGACUUUGGUAUAACUUCAGGAAACUGGGGCUAAUACCGGAUAGGAGCUCCUGCUGCAUGGUGGGGGUUGGAAAGUUUCGGCGGUUGGGGAUGGACUCGCGGCUUAUCAGCUUGUUGGUGGGGUAGUGACUUACCAAGGCUUUGACGGGUAGCCGGCCUGAGAGGGUGACCGGCCACAUUGGGACUGAGAUACGGCCCAGACUCCUACGGGAGGCAGCAGUGGGGAAUAUUGCACAAUGGGCGGAAGCCUGAUGCAGCAACGCCGCGUGCGGGAUGACGGCCUUCGGGUUGUAAACCGCUUUCGCCUGUGACGAAGCGUGAGUGACGGUAAUGGGUAAAGAAGCACCGGCUAACUACGUG